Molecule: ribosomal RNA, 419 nt
Filed under: bacterium
Lineage: Bacteria
Description: partial 16S ribosomal RNA
Rfam family: Bacterial small subunit ribosomal RNA
Source: RNAcentral
UGGGGGAUAUUGCACAAUGGGCGAAAGCCUGAUGCAGCGACGCCGCGUGGGGGAUGAAGGCCUUCGGGUUGUAAACUUCUUUUGCUCUGAACAAGGCGCACCAUGGGGUGUGUUGAGUGUAGGGGUUGAUUAGCGCCGGCUAACUACGUGCCAGCAGCCGCGGUAAUACGUAGGGCGCGAGCGUUGUCCGGAAUUAUUGGGCGUAAAGGGCUUGUAGGUGGCUGGUUGCGUCUGUCGUGAAAGCUCAUGGCUUAACUGUGGGUUUGCGGGGGGUACGGGCUGGCUUGAGUGCAGUAGGGGAGGCUGGAAUUCCUGGUGUAGCGGUGGAAUGCGCAGAUAGCAGGAGGAAUACCGGUGGCGAAGGCGGGUCUCUGGGCUGUUACUGACACUGAGGAGCGAAAGCAUGGGGAGCGAACAGG